GGAUGUGAGGGCAAUCUGGCUGCAACAUCUGUCACACCGUUGACCGCCAGGGUUCAUUUGGUUGAUCUGGCUGGCUAGGAGGGUAUCCCCUUCCUCCCUCACCACUCCAUGUGCGUCCCUCCUGAAGCUGUGCACUCAGUCACAGAGGACAGCCUUCCGUGAAUAGAGACGGACUGAUUUUAGGUCAAGGGUAUGCGAAUAGCUGUGCUCCCCUGCUAGAACCUCCAAACAAGCUCUCAAGAAGGAAGGGAGGGAAGAAUGAAGGAAGGGAAGGAAGGAAGG
This 282-nucleotide small nuclear RNA is filed under the name Erinaceus europaeus (western European hedgehog). RNAcentral describes it as "7SK RNA". It matches the Rfam family "7SK RNA", at positions 1 to 281 of the family's 331-position model. Rfam says of the family: 7SK was discovered as an abundant small nuclear RNA in the mid-70s but a possible function has only recently been suggested. Two independent studies have found that 7SK RNA binds the CDK9/cyclin T complex (known as elongation factor P-TEFb). Lineage: Eukaryota; Metazoa; Chordata; Mammalia; Eulipotyphla; Erinaceidae. The record is from Rfam by way of RNAcentral.